AACGCACAUUGCGCCCAUUAGUAUUCUAGUGGGCAUGCCUGUUCGAGCGUCAUUACAACCCUCAAGCGCUGUAGUGCUUGGUGUUGGGGCAUCUGCUGCCCGCAGCAGGCCCUGAAAGAUAGUGGCGAGGUCGCUGUGACCCUGAGCGUAGUAAUUUACACCUCGCUUCUGUGGCUCGCGGCGGGUUCUCAGCCGUGAAACCCCCCAAUUUUCACAAGGUUGACCUCGGAUCAGGUAGGAAUACCCGCUGAACUUAA
This 257-nucleotide unclassified non-coding RNA is filed under the name uncultured fungus. RNAcentral's name for it is "sequence contains ITS2". The record is from RNAcentral. Lineage: Eukaryota; Fungi.